UACAGAGGUCUCAAGCGUUGUUCGGAUUCACUGGGCGUAAAGGGUGCGUAGGUGGUGAGGUAAGUUUGAUGUGAAAUCUCCGGGCUCAACCCGGAAAUGGCAUUGAAUACUAUCUUGCUAGAGGAGUGGAGGGGGGACUGGAAUACUUGGUGUAGCAGUGAAAUGCGUAGAUAUCAAGUGGAACACCAGUGGCGAAGGCGAGUCCCUGGACACUUCCUGACACUGAGGCACGAAAGCUAGGGGAGCAAACAGG
This 253-nucleotide ribosomal RNA is filed under the name uncultured bacterium. Its description in RNAcentral is "partial 16S ribosomal RNA". It matches the Rfam family "Bacterial small subunit ribosomal RNA", at positions 524 to 776 of the family's 1533-position model. The record is from RNAcentral.